This 360-nucleotide ribosomal RNA is filed under the name Microcephalops sp. Jeff Skevington 18929. RNAcentral describes it as "partial 12S ribosomal RNA". The record is from RNAcentral. Lineage: Eukaryota; Metazoa; Arthropoda; Insecta; Diptera; Pipunculidae.
UAAAAAUUUAAUUUAUAAUAUUAAAGUAGUAUUAGUUUAAGAUCUUGAAAUUUAAAAAAUUUGGCGGUAUUUUAGUCUAUUCAGAGGAACCUGUUUUGUAAUCGAUAAUCCACGAUGAACCUUACUUAAAUUUGUUUAAUAUAGUUUAUAUAUCGUUGUUUAUUGAAUAUUUUAUAAAAAUAAUAAUUUUCUUAUUUUUUAAUUUGAAAAGAUUUCAGAUCAAGAUGUAGCUUAUAUUUAAGUUUAUAAUGGGUUACAAUUAAGUUAUUAUUGGAUAUAUAAUUUAAAUUAAUUAUAUUGAAAUUGGAUUUGAUAGUAAAUUUAUAUAGAUAAAUAUAUUGAUUUUUGCUCUAAAAUAUG